AGCAGCCAGAUCUCUCUCUCUUUUUCUGUCACCAAGAGAAAGUGGAACCUCUGCCACAGAAAUGCACUGGCCUAUGGCAUUACUCUGGGCCAGCUAAGCAAAUAAUUUCAGCCAGAGAAACAA
Gavia stellata (red-throated loon) is the source of this 123-nucleotide small nucleolar RNA. RefSeq annotates it as small nucleolar RNA SNORA5. The transcript has a single exon. The record is from RefSeq and is a predicted model, not a curated record. Lineage: Eukaryota; Metazoa; Chordata; Aves; Gaviiformes; Gaviidae.